Molecule: ribosomal RNA, 219 nt
Filed under: uncultured bacterium
Lineage: Bacteria
Description: partial 16S ribosomal RNA
Rfam family: Bacterial small subunit ribosomal RNA
Source: RNAcentral
UGGGAACGUGCCCUUUGGUUCGGAAACAACUCCGGGAAAACUGGAGCUAAUACCGGAUAAGCCCUUCGGGGGAAAGAUUUAUCGCCAAAGGAUCGGCCCGCGUCUGAUUAGCUAGUUGGUGAGGUAAUGGCUCACCAAGGCGACGAUCAGUAGCUGGUCUGAGAGGAUGAUCAGCCACAUUGGGACUGAGACACGGCAACAAACUCCUACGAGAGGCAG